RNAcentral lists this unclassified non-coding RNA (331 nucleotides) under soil metagenome. RNAcentral describes it as "partial contains 5.8S ribosomal RNA, internal transcribed spacer 2, and large subunit ribosomal RNA". The stretch from base 1 to 120 matches the Rfam family "5.8S ribosomal RNA", at positions 35 to 154 of the family's 154-position model. The record is from RNAcentral.
GAUGAAGAACGCAGCGAAAUGCGAUAAGUAGUGUGAAUUGCAGAAUUCAGUGAAUCAUCGAAUCUUUGAACGCACAUUGCGCCCUUUGGUAUUCCAAAGGGCAUGCCUGUUCGAGCGUCAUUUGUACCCUCAAGCUUUGCUUGGUGUUGGGCAACGCGGUCCGCCGCGUGCCUCAAAUCGACCGGCUGGGUCUUCUGUCCCCUAAGCGUUGUGGAAACUAUUCGCUAAAGGGUGUUCGGGAGGCUACGCCGUAAAACAACCCCAUUUCUAAGGUUGACCUCGGAUCAGGUAGGGAUACCCGCUGAACUUAAGCAUAUCAAUAAGCGGAGGA